CCUACGGGCGGCAGCAGUGAGGAAUAUUGGUCAAUGGACGAGAGUCUGAACCAGCCAAGUAGCGUGAAGGAUGACUGCCCUAUGGGUUGUAAACUUCUUUUAUAUGGGAAUAAAAUGUUCCACGUGUGGGAUUUUGUAUGUACCAUAUGAAUAAGGAUCGGCUAACUCCGUGCCAGCAGCCGCGGUAAUACGGAGGAUCCGAGCGUUAUCCGGAUUUAUUGGGUUUAAAGGGAGCGUAGGUGGAUUGUUAAGUCAGUUGUGAAAUUUUGCGGCUCAACCGUAAAAUUGCAGUUGAAACUGGCAGUCUUGAGUACAGUAGAGGUGGGCGGAAGUCGUGGUGUAGCGGUGAAAUGCUGAGAUAUCACGAAGGACUCCGAUUGCGAAGGCAGCUCACUGGACUGCAACUGACACUGAGGCUCGAAAGUGUGGGUAUCAAACAGGAUUAGAUACCCCAGUAGUC
This 460-nucleotide ribosomal RNA is filed under the name uncultured bacterium. RNAcentral's name for it is "partial 16S ribosomal RNA". It matches the Rfam family "Bacterial small subunit ribosomal RNA", at positions 338 to 795 of the family's 1533-position model. The record is from RNAcentral.